Molecule: non-coding RNA, 123 nt
Filed under: Heterosigma akashiwo
Lineage: Eukaryota; Raphidophyceae; Chattonellales; Chattonellaceae
Source: RNAcentral
UUCUGUAGCGAACACAAACUUAAGGGCAUGAUGCGAAAUGAGGCCGGGAAGUGGUGCCAGCAUCCUGGAUGCUUAACAAAAGGAUCUUUCUUUUUUGAGGGCUUCAAAAAAAACCAAUUCUGU